This 222-nucleotide unclassified non-coding RNA is filed under the name Hevea brasiliensis (rubber tree). Lineage: Eukaryota; Viridiplantae; Streptophyta; Magnoliopsida; Malpighiales; Euphorbiaceae. The record is from RNAcentral.
AAGGCCACAACUUCCAGCCGGCAGUAAGCAUGGGCCAAAACGUGGAUUUGAGCUCACUGGAAAUAGUGGCCGGUGAUUCCAAACGAAGGAACCCCAAGACCACGAAGUAGAUACUGUUCCAUAUCGCAGACCAGGCCGUCUGAUCGAACACAACCUUUGCGGGAACAACCCACCAAUCCUUGAAUGGAAACAGUGCCUCGCAGAAAUGGUAGUAGUAAUGUG